This 497-nucleotide ribosomal RNA is filed under the name uncultured bacterium. Its description in RNAcentral is "partial 16S ribosomal RNA". It matches the Rfam family "Bacterial small subunit ribosomal RNA", at positions 28 to 507 of the family's 1533-position model. The record is from RNAcentral.
GAUGAACGCUGGCGGCGUGCCUAAUACAUGCAAGUCGAGCGAACAGACGAGGAGCUUGCUCCUCUGACGUUAGCGGCGGACGGGUGAGUAACACGUGGAUAACCUACCUAUAAGACUGGGAUAACUUCGGGAAACCGGAGCUAAUACCGGAUAAUAUAUUGAACCGCAUGGUUCAAUAGUGAAGGACGGUUUUGCUGUCACUUAUAGAUGGAUCCGCGCCGCAUUAGCUAGUUGGUAAGGUAACGGCUUACCAAGGCAACGAUGCGUAGCCGACCUGAGAUGGUGAUCGGCCACACUGGAACUGAGACACGGUCCAGACUCCUACGGGAGGCAGCAGUAGGGAAUCUUCCGCAAUGGGCGAAAGCCUGACGGAGCAACGUCGCGUGAGUGAUGAAGGUCUUCGGAUCGUAAAACUCUGUUAUUAGGGAAGAACAAAUGUGUAAGUAACUAUGCACGUCUUGACGGUACCUAAUCAGAAAGCCACGGCUAACUACGUG